AUGUAAAUGUAACCUAAUGAAUGUUGAAAGUUUGGUUAAUUGAAAGUAAAAAGAUAGUUGAUUAAGCUUAUUUUAUUUAUUUAUAUUAAUAGUUUUAAUAUUUAAUUAAUAUUUGUUUAAUUUUUUUUUUAGCGACUCACUAGUUGAACUAGUGAUCUAUUGACUUGGCCCCUCAGCCGGGUCAAGCUCCGGACCAUGUUUGGUAACUAUGCAAUUUUAUGUGAUACACUGAAGAUGUGGCAUAUCUUAGCAUUCCAAUUUUUUUAUGUGGCUUUUUAUGAAUUUGAAAUAGUAUAAUGCAUGUCCAGGAUAGAUAAGUCUGUAAAUGCUUCUUGUUUUGUGCAUUAGUGUAUAUUCCGUAACUUUCUGCUUAUAUUACCUGUUAUAAUGAUGUUAUUUUGUUUUUCUUAUAGCAUUAAAUGAUGCAUUGAAAGAA
RNAcentral lists this unclassified non-coding RNA (436 nucleotides) under Hevea brasiliensis (rubber tree). The record is from RNAcentral. Lineage: Eukaryota; Viridiplantae; Streptophyta; Magnoliopsida; Malpighiales; Euphorbiaceae.